Molecule: long non-coding RNA, 619 nt
Filed under: Ananas comosus (pineapple)
Lineage: Eukaryota; Viridiplantae; Streptophyta; Magnoliopsida; Poales; Bromeliaceae
Description: long non-coding RNA (ACOM_LNC030044)
Source: RNAcentral
UAUAUAUAUAUAUAUAUAUAGAGAGAGAGAGAGAGAGAGAGAGAGAGAGAGUUUGACGGGGCUACUAUCGGUAGUAAAUUGCUCAAUUUACUACCGAUUUGUUUUCGAUAAUAGAGUUUCCAAAUCGACGAUCGGCACCGUCGAAUAUAAUCUAAACCAUUUAAAUUAUCUAGAAAUCAAAUUUCACGAUUUUUUGGCAUCACUAACUGAACGAUCAAAAAGUCACAAAAUCUAUAAUUUUAACGGUCGAUAUGGUGCGUUUGCUCGUUUAACGGUAUAGAAGAGUUCAAAUCAACUAAAUUUUUGUUAAAAAAUUCUUUAAACUAUUUAAAAAAAAUCUAGACUCUAGAUCUCAAAUAUAAAAAUUGUAUCAUCACUUUUUAAAGGAUAUUCAUUUCCAGCCAUUCAUUUUCUGUUCACUUGAUGAACAUGAGAACAAUAUCAAAAAUAUGUGAAAUUUGAUUUCCAGAUAGUUUAAAUAGUUUAGAUCAUGUUUAACGGUGUCGAUCGUCGAUUUGGAAGCUCUAUCAUCGAAAAUAAAUCGGUAGUAAAUCGAGCAGUUUACUACCGAUAGUAUUCUAGCAAAACUCUAUAUAUAUAUAUUACUUAUCUGGUGAAU